Molecule: long non-coding RNA, 216 nt
Filed under: Pelobates cultripes (western spadefoot toad)
Lineage: Eukaryota; Metazoa; Chordata; Amphibia; Anura; Pelobatidae
Source: RNAcentral
GCCAACACUACACAAAAAUACACUCAUGCAUUUCAACAUCAACACUACAUACAAACCCCACCAUUAUAUAUACCCAUACCACUGCAUUCAAAUACCACACAACACACAAAUGCAUGCUUGCAUUCAAACGCCAACACUACAUACAAACACACCGCUACAUUCACUCACAUAUACUCCAUACAAAAACAUGCAUACAUUCAAACACAUUAACACUGC